GCCGUUGUUGCUCAGUGGAUAGAGCGUCUGCCUGUGGACAGAAGGGUCCCGGGUUCAAUUCUGGUCAAGGGCA
Molecule: transfer RNA, 73 nt
Filed under: Myotis lucifugus (little brown bat)
Lineage: Eukaryota; Metazoa; Chordata; Mammalia; Chiroptera; Vespertilionidae
Rfam family: tRNA
About the family: Transfer RNA (tRNA) molecules are approximately 80 nucleotides in length. Their secondary structure includes four short double-helical elements and three loops (D, anti-codon, and T loops). Further hydrogen bonds mediate the characteristic L-shaped molecular structure. tRNAs have two regions of fundamental functional importance: the anti-codon, which is responsible for specific mRNA codon recognition, and the 3' end, to which the tRNAs corresponding amino acid is attached (by aminoacyl-tRNA synthetases). tRNAs cope with the degeneracy of the genetic code in two manners: having more than one tRNA (with a specific anti-codon) for a particular amino acid; and 'wobble' base-pairing, i.e. permitting non-standard base-pairing at the 3rd anti-codon position.
Source: Rfam by way of RNAcentral